AGAGUUUGAUCCUGGCUCAGGAUGAACGCUGGCUGUGUGCCUAAUACAUGCAUGUCGAGCGAAGCACUUCGGUGCUUAGCGGCGAAUGGGUGAGUAACACGUACUUAACCUACCCCCAAGAUUGGGACAACGCCUGGAAACGGGUGCUAAUACCAAAUACGUAUUUUUAUCGCAUGAUAGAAAUAUAAAAGGAGCUUCGGCUUCGCUAGGGGAUGGGAGUGCGCUACAUUAGUUAGUUGGUAGGGUAAUGGCCUACCAAGACUAUGAUGUAUAGCGGGGCCGAGAGGCUGAUCCGCCACACUGGGACUGAGAUACGGCCCAGACUCCUACGGGAGGCAGCAGUAGGGAAUUUUCCACAAUGAACGAAAGUUUGAUGGAGCGACACAGCGUGCAGGAUGAAGGUCUUCGGAUCGUAAACUGCUGUUAUAAGGGAAGAAAAACUUUAGUAGGUAAUGACUAGAACUUGACGGUACCUUAUCAGAAAGCGACGGCUAACUAUGUGCCAGCAGCCGCGGUAAU
This 519-nucleotide ribosomal RNA is filed under the name uncultured bacterium. Its description in RNAcentral is "bacterial SSU rRNA". It matches the Rfam family "Bacterial small subunit ribosomal RNA", at positions 8 to 524 of the family's 1533-position model. The record is from RNAcentral.